CAGUAGCCGCGGUAAAACGGAGGGUGCAAGCGUUAAUCGGAAUUACUGGGCGUAAAGCGUGCGUAGGCGGUUCGUUAAGUCUGUUGUGAAAGCCCUGGGCUCAACCUGGGAAUUGCAGUGGAUACUGGGUCACUAGAGUGUGGUAGAGGAUAGUGGAAUUUCCGGUGUAGCAGUGAAAUGCGUAGAGAUCGGAAGGAACAUCUGUGGCGAAGGCGACUAUCUGGGCCAACACUGACACUGAGGCACGAAAGCGUGGGGAGCAAACAGGAUUAGAUACCCGCGUAGUCCCUGUCUCUUAUAC
RNAcentral lists this ribosomal RNA (301 nucleotides) under uncultured bacterium. Its description in RNAcentral is "partial 16S ribosomal RNA". It matches the Rfam family "Bacterial small subunit ribosomal RNA", at positions 509 to 807 of the family's 1533-position model. The record is from RNAcentral.